Molecule: ribosomal RNA, 52 nt
Filed under: Dioscorea polystachya (Chinese yam)
Lineage: Eukaryota; Viridiplantae; Streptophyta; Magnoliopsida; Dioscoreales; Dioscoreaceae
Description: partial 26S ribosomal RNA
Source: RNAcentral
CGGAUCGGGUAGGGAUACCCGCUGAACUUAAGCAUAUCAAUAAGCGGAGGAA